GUGAGGAAUAUUGGUCAAUGGUCGCAAGACUGAACCAGCCAUGCCGCGUGCAGGAAGACGGUCCUAUGGAUUGUAAACUGCUUUUAUACAGGAAGAAACCCUCCCACGUGUGGGAGCUUGACGGUACUGUAGGAAUAAGGAUCGGCUAACUCCGUGCCAGCAGCCGCGGUAAUACGGAGGAUCCAAGCGUUAUCCGGAAUCAUUGGGUUUAAAGGGUCUGUAGGCGGUCUUAUAAGUCAGUGGUGAAAGCCCAUCGCUCAACGAUGGAACUGCCAUUGAUACUGUAAGACUUGAAUGCUUAGGAAGUAACUAGAAUAUGUAGUGUAGCGGUGAAAUGCUUAGAUAUUACAUGGAAUACCAAUUGCGAAGGCAGGUUACUACUAAGUGAUUGACGCUGAUGGACGAAAGCGUGGGGAGCGAACAGGAUUAGAUACCCGAGUAGUCC
This 445-nucleotide ribosomal RNA is filed under the name uncultured bacterium. RNAcentral describes it as "partial 16S ribosomal RNA". It matches the Rfam family "Bacterial small subunit ribosomal RNA", at positions 354 to 796 of the family's 1533-position model. The record is from RNAcentral.